This 434-nucleotide ribosomal RNA is filed under the name uncultured Clostridium sp. RNAcentral describes it as "partial 16S ribosomal RNA". It matches the Rfam family "Bacterial small subunit ribosomal RNA", at positions 341 to 792 of the family's 1533-position model. The record is from RNAcentral. Lineage: Bacteria; Bacillati; Bacillota; Clostridia; Eubacteriales; Clostridiaceae.
ACGGGAGGCAGCAGUGGGGGAUAUUGCACAAUGGGGGGACCCUGAUGCAGCAACGCCGCGUGAGGGAAGAAGGUUUUCGGAUUGUAAACCUCUGUCUUCGGUGACGAUAAGAGACGGUAGCCGAGGAGGAAGCCACGGCUAACUACGUGCCAGCAGCCGCGGUAAUACGUAGGUGGCAAGCGUUGUCCGGAAUUACUGGGUGUAAAGGGUGCGCAGGCGGGGAUGCAAGUCAGCUGUGAAAACUAUGGGCUUAACUCAUAGAGUGCAGUUGAAACUGCAUAUCUUGAGUGAAGUAGAGGUAGGCGGAAUUCCUAGUGUAGCGGUGAAAUGCGUAGAUAUUAGGAGGAACACCAGUGGCGAAGGCGGCCUACUGGGCUUUAACUGACGCUGAGGCACGAAAGUGUGGGGAGCAAACAGGAUUAGAUACCCUGGUA